RNAcentral lists this long non-coding RNA (605 nucleotides) under Macaca mulatta (Rhesus monkey). RNAcentral describes it as "lncRNA (ENSMMUG00000061056.1)". The record is from RNAcentral. Lineage: Eukaryota; Metazoa; Chordata; Mammalia; Primates; Cercopithecidae.
GGCAGAAUGCGUAAGUGGCCAAGAAAAUCCAAGAGUUACACUAAAGAAAUUCUCCACAUUGAAGAAACAUGAGUGAAAUUAUUCAAUAAAAAACACAAGGAGGAUGACAUACAAUUCUGCCUCUGACAAAACCAGAAAACAUCUGAAACACUGACCACGUCAAGCACUAUCAAAGAGCUAUCAAAUGCCGUGAAAAUCAGGUAGAGCUGGUGGAAGAGAGGAUACUAUUGGUUACAGUCCUAAUGGGCCAGCAAAGCACACUUUUCCAAGCUGAAGUUGAUCCUGGAAAGAGAAUCUUUAGGGAGAGAACAUUGUUUUCUUUCUCAGAACAUCGUGUCGGGCAGUGUCUCCAACUGCUGACAUUUUGGAAACCAAAGCCAAAAGCAAUACAUCAAAUCAGCAGCUCCAGGCAGAGGACUGUUUCAAACCAAAAUGAUGUUUUAAUCUUGAAUCAAGCAAUGACUGCACAGCCUGCAAGAGGCCUGUUUUGGACAUCAGUUGUUAAUCUACCCAAAGCAUUUGAAGAAGUUGAUUCCUCUGUGUUGGCAUUUAUUGAAGUUGAUUUUCUAUGCUGCACCCCAGUUCCUCCACGCUACUUCCUAUGA